GCAGCAACGCCGCGUGAGUGAUGAAGGCUCUUGGGUCGUAAAGCUCUGUCAAGUGGGAAGAAACCUCUUGGAGUUAAUACCUUCGUGAAUUGACGGUACCACUGAAGGAAGCACCGGCUAACUCCGUGCCAGCAGCCGCGGUAACACGGGGGGUGCAAGCGUUAUUCGGAUUUAUUGGGCGUAAAGGGCGCGUAGGCGGCCAUUUAAGUCGGGUGUGAAAUCCCGGGGCUUAACCCCGGAACUGCAUCCGAUACUGGAUGGCUUGAGUAUGGGAGAGGGAAGUGGAAUUCCAGGUGUAGAGGUGAAAUUCGUAGAUAUCUGGAGGAACACCAGUGGCGAAGGCGACUUCCUGGACCAAUACUGACGCUGAUGCGCGAAGGCGUGGGGAGCAAACAGGAUUAGAUACC
Molecule: ribosomal RNA, 407 nt
Filed under: uncultured bacterium
Lineage: Bacteria
Description: bacterial SSU rRNA
Rfam family: Bacterial small subunit ribosomal RNA
Source: RNAcentral